AUCAAUUUUGGGUUUUGUUGCAAUUGCUUUUAAGGGAGGAAGACAUUUCAUUUUUAUAGAGAAAGAAGGAAGAUAAAUGGAAUAAGAUUUUGAACUUGGUAUAAAUGGGAAGGUAUAUGUUCUGAACAUAGGAGAAAGAUACCGUAUGCUCUGAGACUGACAGGGAGAAGGGGGCAGGGAUUACUGGUGUCUGAAGGUACAAGGACAGGAAAUAGAGUGAGUUCAUGCUUUGUUUAUUUUGCAAAAUCAUUUGUGAAUUGUAGGAAAGGAAGGCAAGGUAAUUUGCCCCAGGGGUUUUGAGAGUGGAAAGUUUUGGAAUGGCUGUUUACAAUUGGAUGUGAGAUAGCCAAGUAGGGCCAGGGAAUAGUUAGCUGUGUGGUGUUGAGUCACAUUAAUUUAACAAGCAUUUCCUGAAUUCUUGCUACAUGUCAAGCACUUGGCUAGGCUCUGGAGAUACAGAGAUUAAAGAUCUGGUCCUGGUCCUUGGGAGUUUACAGACAUGUCAAUCACUAUUUACUCUGUGGGUGCUGCUAUGGCAGCUGAGAAGAGGAAAGUCUUUCUCAGCUUGGGUAGGAGACAGAAAUGGAUAUGUUUUCCUUGAAGGAGAGCUUCUUAGACCCUAUUAGGUGCUACAAGAUCAUCUUGUUUUCAAGCAAAUUAAUAGCAGAAUAUUCUUAAGGUCUAAGUUAUACACUGAAUGGCAUCUGACAGUACAGUAGGAAAUUAAACUACAAAAUCUAAAAAUAAUGAACACCGAAGUCUUAGGCAGAGUCUUUCAAUUGUUAGUUACGAAAAUCCAAAGUAAGUUAAAGAGGAGAAAAAAAAAUUGAAAUUGUUGAUUCACACCAUUGCAACAAUUUAUAAAUCACUUUUGGUUUCAGAAAUGGCUACAUUUAGGGGUUGAAAUAAUAUCAACAUGUCUCGAUCUUUCUAGGAUUUUGAGAAAGGAGCCUCCUCUAUACUCCAACAGUUUCAUAUCAUACACCUAUAAGCCUGUGUAUUUCCCUUUGAGAAGGUGAGAAGGAAAACUUUCCCUUUAAACUUUCUCUUUUGCUACAGCUAUGCCGCAGAACUUUGAGUCCCAGGUUCAGAAAAGCUGUGUUCUCUGUCCAAUCUGCCCGCCGAAUCUGAUGAGAACAUUUUGCCUUACCCUUAUAGUUUCAAAAAAUAUACUAUUUUAUAUUUUUUAAAAGUUUGGGGUAACACUAUUAUCAAACCUACAAUUAAAGCUUCAUCUUUAUUAACAAAGUAGCCGCUAAUUAUCUGAACAUAAUUCUGAAUACAUACCAUGUGCAAUUCUAGUGUUGAGAGUUAAUAAUUUAAACUGAAGAAUAUAAAAAUGUACAUUAGAAUCUUAGAUGCAGAUGUAGGCAAAGUCAUAUGUGCUUGAGAAAGAAUUUUUGUGUUAUAUAACUUGGGAUAGAUAAAGCAUUAUAAAACCUUCAGUACAGGGUCUUCCUUAACAUUCAAAUGUGCUGGCCUGUUAACUGAGAUUGUUAAGAUUUUUAAUGAAAUGUAAUCCAAAUAACUAUUAAACACUAGUUUAAUAGUUUUGUUUUAAUAGUUUUUCCUAGUUUUUUGUUUUAAUAGUUUUUCCUAGUUUUGUUUAAUACUUUCAGGAUAUCUGAUCAUGAAAAUAUAAUGUUUCUGAAGCAAUUUUUUUAAGAAGUUCAGACAUAGUCACAUGAGGCUAAUCUUAAGACUAUUUGACUAUAUUAUAAGCAAGAGAAUUGAUGUUUUGGGAAGCUGAGAAAAUAAUGUAUAUAUGUUUUAUGUAAUCAUUAAGAAUCAUUUUAGUGUACCUUAUUGCAUAUAUCUGAUUUCUGUACUCCUUUUUUUGGUUAGAAAAAUGACCACAAUAGCUAUAAAACAUUGCUUCCUUUACCUAGUUUAUUUCAACUUUGUCAUAUCCUCAUUUGCAUUCAUCUGUAAGUGAGCAAUUAACAUUAUUAUUUGUGUUGCUCUUAAGUAAUAAAAUAUUAUCCCAUAAAUUGUGCUUUAGGUAGUCCAGUUUUAUUACUAUGAUUAAUAACUAUGAUAAUAAUUAUUAUUUGUACAUCAUUUAACAUUUUUUGGCAUAAGAAAUCAUCACCACAAUAAAGGCAAUGAACAUAUUCAUCCACUGAGCAUUAAUAAUGUUUAAUGCUUGGAUUUUGAAACUAUGUUAGAGAGCAGACUGAAGGAUGAAAACAUCAAGAUUGUCACUGAAUAGGAAAUAAAUGUCCUGCUAUGGAAGACAUGAAAUAAUAUAAAAAAUUUAAAGUUUCUGCACAACCCAGGGUAAAAAAAUGAAGCUUAUGACUCAGUCUUUGCAGUCAAAAUAUCUCCUCCCCUCCUUCGAAAUGAUCUCAAUGAGAUAAGGUUACCGCUGUGGUCAUCACAUUUUUUUAAGAGCAGGGCAUUCUGCCCUCUAAGUUUCUGGUCAGAGGUUGAAACAACGUAAAACAAAAUAAGCACCAUUGUUACAUAAGCACUGCAUGUAGACAAGGUAUAUUUAGCUUUGUAAGUAGUUCAGAAUACUAAAGAUUAGAAUAUCAAGGCUAAGAGCCUGGGGAAAUUUUUUUUAAAGAAAUGUUUCUGAGCAAAACCACAGCAAAAGUUAAAGAUUAGUGCUUACAAUACAAAGAAUGAUAAGCAACGUGCAUUAGAAUUUUACUGAAGAUAUUUUCUUAGUAACAACUCUACAUGGAAGACCCCUGGGCUCUUUAAAGUGGUAUGCAGAUGAAGAAAGACUGACUAGGAUGCCUUGGUAUUGUUCAGGGCAGAAGGAAGACAGAGAGACAAAAGAUUGCUGAUCUAUAAAGGGCUCUAAGUGGAAGUCCAAAACUCACUUUUUCCUGACUCAUCAUUGAGAUUGUGCUUUUCAUUCAUAGUUUAACCAUCUUUACUCAAGAUGGUAAAAGAGCAAUAGGAAAAUCUGGGGAAAGAAAAAUAUGGGUAGGAAUUCAAAAAUGUAUCUAUGAAUGAGGUGGGAACACAGGAUUCAUGCUGUGUAGUCCGGCACAUUCAGAAGUGAUCUCAAAUUUGGUUCUGAGAUUUCUAGCAGCAAGCAAAAAGAAAGAAGGCAAAUCAGUUACAAGUGUCACACAUUUCAUAAGAUCAGAGUUGUUCCAGGGAAGCAAAACUCUUCACUGACACUAAAGGGAGAUAUUUCUUCUGUCAGUUGUUUUAUAGUUAAGGAAAUGGUGGCUCCUCUCCUUUUGACUUCAGUGUUAGGAAGAAUCUUCUGAUUUCCUAGAAUAUUGAAUAAAAGGUGGAAAUCUCUUAAUGAUAUCAUAAAAUGUAAAAAAAAAUUGCCAGCAUAAUUUUUAUCUCUAGAAAAAUGCUUUUGACAUUUGGAAUUAUGUUAAGAAUAUGUUAUUGUUUCCAGCACUACCUAAAUACCAGUAAUAACCAAGGUGCUAUCAAACUAUGGAUAUCCGUGAUAUUUAACAUGUUUCAUGCUAUUUUGCAGGUCUUGAAGUGCAUUCACAUAAUCACUUCAAAUUUUUAUAGUAUUUCUGCAGAGUAGGUAACAUUAACUCUAUUUACAGUGAUUUGCCUGCUGGUUUGAGGUCAAGGGACUUGCUUGAGCUCAGAAAUAAGUGGUAUAGUUGGAACUUAACUUAAAUCUAGAAGCUAAUUUUUAAAAUGUUUUUCCCACUACGGAAAUUACAGUUCAAUUUUGCAAGGAAAAUCUCCCACUUACUCAUUUAUCGUAGGUAUAGCGUGUCUUUUCAAUACGUAUUUAAUAUAUUAGCAGCAUCCUUUUAUUGCUGCAAUCUUGAUAAUAUGGAAUAGGCUGGAGAAUAAUGGGCACAAUAAAAUAACUACCAUUUAUCAAGUACUAUAUAAUUUAAUUUAGUUAUUAGAAUAGCUCUGUAAGGUAAGUACCAUUGUCCACAUUUUGCAGAUGAGGAAACUGAUGUGAAGAGAAAUAAAAUAAUAACAUAGCUGAUAUGUAACAGAGCCAAAAUUCUAAACAGGCCUGCCCAACUCCAAAACCCUUAUGUUUUUCAUCAGCUUGGCAACUUUUAUGAUAUACAUCAAGGAAGUUUCCAUGAUGGUAGAGUUAAUUAGGUUUAAGACCAUUAUUACUCUGUCCUUACCAGGAAGGUUACAGAAAAUAUACCUUCCUGCACUAGCUGCUGCGUAAAUGCCUACUUACUCUCUGGGGUAUAUUAAUGUUGGCAAACAGCACAGUUUUCUUAUACCAGGCUAUAAGAAAUAUACCUAUGUGUACCUAUAUUCAAGAAAUAUGUACCUAUAUUCAAGAGCAGAGCUUUUGAAGUUGCCAAGGUAAAACUGCUAGCCUGACAUCCAUUUGAUCCAUAAAAGUGAAUAGUGAGUGAGUGUCCCUGCACAUGGGACAAAGGAGACUGUCCCAUGUAUGUUGCAUAGAACUUUAGAAUGUUGCAUAGAACUUUAGAAUUCUGUACAUUAACACCUUCUUCUUUCCCUUCUUUAUGGCAUUUGAGAUAUUAAGUGGAUGCUGCCAUUUUCAGUUCAUCUGGCCAAGGGAAAUCAUGGGUUUAGCAAGAAGAGAGUUAGUAAGAGCAACAUGUAACUAUUCCCAUCCACUUAAACUUCCACACCUUCCAUUUAUUUUUGUGUUCAUAUUUUAUUUGUUUUUUUCAGGUGCCAUGGUAGGUGUUACAGUGAGUGCAAAAUUGAGAGGAAAAAUAGCCUAUACUUUAAAGGAAUUUAUGAUUUAGCAAUGGGUGAAGAGGAAAGAUAAGCAUUUUAAUUUAAAAAAGCCCUCCAGGCUCUAUAAGCUAAAUGGCCAAGAAAAAUAGAACCAUGAAGAUUAAAUGCAUUAGUAAGCGGAGAGAUACAAAUGAAAGCAAUAAUAAGAUGUCACUAAAGCGACCAUGUAAUGUGGCAAGAGUUAGAAGAUCAGAGAGAGCCAAAUAAUGGCAGUAAUGUAGAGAUGUGGUGACCAACAUGGACUGCUGUUGACAUUGCAUAGUGAUGCAGACAUUCUAGAGAACUGUUUGGCAUUACUUAGGCAAUAAGGUCACCUAUUCCUAUGACCCUGAAAUUCUUCUCUUUGACAUAUAGAUUAAGGAAAUUCUCAAACAGGUCUACAGUGGUCAGAUAUGAACAUACUCAUUUCUGGUGACCAGUAGUUGAUUGUCAAAAGUGUGAGGAGUAAUCAUCAUGCAAUGAUUAGAAGUUCCUGUGGCAACUUGGAAGGGUUGUAAAAACCAGCAUGGUGCAAUCAAGAAAGGAGCAUGAGAUCUAUCACAGAGUCCAGUUACAUAAAUGAGAAUGAAUGUAUAAAACAGUACAUAUUUUGCAAAAGUUAUACUAAAUAGAAUAGUUCAUAUGGGAAGAAGAGCCUAGAGAUUGGAUUGGAAUUACAAAGAAAUGUAAAUAUAACAGAGGGACUAUCCAUGAACCAAUAAUUAUAAUGUUCCAUUAAAUAAGGAGUAUGCCAAAUUGAAACCUCUAAACUAGAAAAAAACAAAAAAACCUGGAGAUCCUAUGGGAUAAGAGGUCACAACUUGGAGAGUUCAGGAUGUAUUUCAUGAAGGAGGUGGCAUUUGAGCUGUAUCUUGAAGAAUGGGUAAAAUUUUAAACAGAUAUUAGGGAGGACAGGGAGCUGUCACAGGUAGGAAGUAGUGGAAUAUAUGAAGAAAGCCUUCCACCAGGGAGGAAGGUCAGGGCCAGCAAAUGCUUGGCAAUCCAGUGGUAAGGGACAAGGAUUUAUUUAAAAGAGGGAGUUCACUUUGGUUGGAGCAGAAGGUAUGUGUGAGGCAAAGUAAAGACAGUGAACAGUUAUUUAGCUCUCUGUGUCAGGCAUUGGCCUGAGUACUUUAUGCAUCAUCCCUCACAAAGGCCAUAUGAAAUAGACAAUGUAGUCAUAACCUUCAUCAUCACUAUCAUCAUCAUCAUCAUCCACUUCACAGAUGAGUAAGCCAUGUCUCAAAGAGGUAAAUAACUUUUCAGCCACGUUCCUGCAGUUGCUAGAGUCAUAAGGAACAGCCUGGAUAUAGCUCUUCCUCUACCAUGACUCCCUUUCUCCAGGGAUGCCUCACACUUUCGAAAAAUAGGGCUGUUUUCUCUAUCCCUGUCAAUGUAGAUGCAGAGGGGCUUGGUGGUGAAGUGGUUAAGUAAGUAGGAACUCAGCCUUACACUAGGUAUGGCUUUAAUUACCCCAUAGUACUGAUUAGUUUGAUAGCAAAAAGGGAUAUUUGAGAAGGAAACUGCCCAUAUUAUAAAGCCCUGCCUAUGAAAUAAAGGCCUUUUUGCUCAUGUGUGUCUCAUUGAAAUGAUGGAGGGUCUCUGCCAACAUCAAGCUAAAUAAGGAGAAAACAUUUAUAAGCACCCUUUUAACUCUGUUAGAGCUAUGCAUUCUGAAAUCUCUUCAAGUAACAAAUGGGUAAGAACAAAAGGGGCAGAACUGGCCUUUCAACUACAAAGACUGAGUCUCAAGCUUUAGGGAGCCCUGUUUAUGAUACUGAUUCAAUAUAAACUCCAAGCUUCUAUGCAGUUAAACAUGGGGGAAAUGGCCAUGUCUAUAGGGUAGGAUUAUGACUCUCAAGCAUUCUGAAAAUAAAUUUUGGACUUGUCAUUCCGGUUAACGUAGGAAUAGAAUUUGCUUCAUCAGCUAGGUGAACAUUUAGGCUAAUUGCUAUGGCUAUGUCUUAGAAAGUGACAUUUGUGACAUGAAAAACAAUUAAGUAUAAAAACCCACCAGUGAACAACAAAAGCCAAAAUGUCCAUGUGAACGAAUGUUUCAACAUGUCUGUUUUUAAUUUAUGCCUUCCUCUUUCUUGCAUCUCUACCCAUUUCUCAAAUUCUUCCCUGGCUAUUUACACUUCAAAACACCUGGGAUUGGGCUUCCAGCACCCGCUAUCAGAAGCAGAGAUUAUCCUGCUGAAAAUAUGAUUUUACAUGUUAAAAUUUAAGUUAAUAUUCCUUAUUUAGUUCAAAAACAGUAUGUUUUAAAAUCUAGCUAUUCUAAAAUAUAUGCAGCUCAAUAAACGAUAACAACUACAAAAUUUUCACAAAUAAAAUGUUCAAACCUGAAGAUCUUGAUAAAGGAAUUAAAAAAAUGAAGGCUACAACACACAGACUGAAAACAGGCUCUUCAUAGUUCAGGGUUGGAAGACUCUGCUGUACAUCUGUUUAACAUCUUGCAGUUUGAAGAACCCUGCCUUGCAAAACCUUCUGUACCAGUGACACACAGAAUAAAAGGUUAUAUUAUGACUUUCAGAUGGAAACCUCCAAAAGUUUAUCUGCUGGACUGGACCAUUAACUCAUGUUACUUUUGAUUCUAAGCAUUAAAAGUAUUUUUCAUGUGCAAAUUAUAAUGAACUUUUAGGUUUAUAUCAGAAAGCACCAGAAAGAAUUCUUACUUGGAGAGAGUGAACAUGCUAUGGAAUGAAUAGAAUGUUUUAGUUGUGAUGUUCAAAUGGAACUAAAAGUCCCCCAAUAGGGAAUUUAUAGAGUGCAUUUUAAUAAUGAGUAUAUAUGCUUAUAUAUUGAGUUGGGAACAAAAGUACCACAUUUGAAAUAUGAAAGUAUUCCAAACUUCCAUCACUGCCAACAUUUAUUGAAAGUUUAGCUGAGAGAACAGAAGCCUAUUUUCAGGUAUGACUUCACAAAAAUGCUCAUCUAUUGAUGUGGCAAAAAUCAUACUUGAUAAGGAGGAGCUCUAGUUUGGAGUAACGUAAUAGAAAAAUUAGGAAUCACUUUUGAGUUCAGUAGGCUACCAGAAUUGCAUUGUCUUCGCUAACAAUUUACUUGGCUUUGGUGAAGGUGGAGAGAUUUUUUUUGGGGGGGGCAGUUUCUAAACACACCCGGUCUCCUCUGUUAAGCUCUGUCUCCUCUGCCAUGUGGAUGUGCAUUUUCUUAAUUUGUAGGAAGGAGAUACUUCCUUUUCCUCCACCACCCAGGAGACUUCACUGCCAACCUCUGGCCCCUGUGUCUGCAGCACCCAGCACACAGAUCCUAUAUAUGCUGUGGGAAGCUCACUGUGCCGCAAGUGGGUGAAGGAGCAAAGGAGAGGUAGCAUUUCCUUUAGAGACACACACACCCUCUGACCCAGACGAAGGAAGAAUCUAUUCUGCAGUGGGCUUGCUGCAAGGGACUUUCCAUGUGCAUUUUAUUAUGCCGUAGCUGAUGAUGGUGACAAGUUCCACAUUAGCUAUCUGUCUUUUCUGAAAUUUCACAUUCUCUUCUUUUUGUAGGGAAAGUGCUAUCGCUGUGUAAACAGUAUCAUUUAAUUAGACGGUGUCCGUUUUCUCUUGUGUACCAUGAAAGUUACCUUGCCCUCACUCUGGGACUGUUGUAGACUUUGGUUAUGCAGUGAUUACCUGAGCUUUGGGGGACAGUGGGGUAUACAUAUUGACAUUGGUAGUAGCCAGCAGUUUUCACUAGGGAAAUCAGUUUAGUAUACUGUUAUUAAUUUGGUUUAGAAAAUAGCUGCAGAGUGCUCAGACAAAUAAGAUGUAGCAGAACACAUGGUGUUCGUUAUUCAAUAACUAUCCUUCUGCAAAGGAAGCAUGGUCUAUUUCCCAUUUGAGAAGGAGCUUACAAAAACUAGUAAAUAUGAAAAGAGGGCAUUUACUAUAAUUUUAUAGAAUAGCUGUCCUCAUGUACUUAUACAGCCCCCACCUCUCUCCCACACCCACCAAUCACAUUCACACAACAUGUCCACAUAGAAUGUAUUCCCAGCUGGUAUUAGCAUAAUCAUUACCACAUUAUAAACAAACCUGUGGAAAAAUAGCCUGAGAGACUUAGAUGGUUUGUUUUAUAAAUGAAGGUGGGGGUAGAAAACCAGAUAUUUUUGGAACAAAUUCCUCUCUCUUUAGAAAUGAUAGCUCAGCUCUCAUAAACCUCAAUUGAUAGCAUGGACUGAAGAGGUGGAAUUGAAGAAAGUCAUGACAUAUUUGGUAUUCCUUGGUGAAGGUCAAUGAAAGGUCUUCUAUGGAGCCCUUUUGCUGGAAGAAGUCCUCACGAUAGAAAUGUUGAGCCUUCCUUUUUUACUUUCUUACUGGAGCAUACAUGGAAUACCUUUUUUUCUGGUUUAAUGUAGUUCCUGUUGGUCAAGAUCUCUGGCUGUUUCUCCUUUCUCUAUUGUAUUUUUCCUGGAGUUGACUAGAUGAGAAAUCCUGACUUAGUGGAUAAUUCCAAGUUUACUGCCAAGACCAGAAAUAAAAUAUGAUAUAAAAUAUGGCCUUACCUGAAAGCUUCUGGACAUUAAAUGCUGUUAGAUCCAGUUUUCACUGGAAAAAGAACCCAAGACAAAGGAAGGAAAAUAAUUUUAUGAAUGUAAGAGUUGGUUUGUGUGUCCAGGUUCUAAGAGAUCAGACAACAGGCUGAAAAGAGAUUUGGUGUACCAUCCUUUUUUCUUUCUUUCUUUUUCUGUUUGAUUUUUACAGUUAUACAGAGAAUAUCUAAGUAUGCUUGCCACAGAAGAAUCAUGGAUGUGGUCUUUUAAACAUCUGACUUUGGAAAUACCCAGAGAACUGUGUGAUGGGGAUGGAGAUGGCAUUAAUGAAUGUGAUUCAGACAGUGCACUCUCUGUGGGCUUAUUGCAUCUGUGGCCUAGUGAUUUGUUUGUAAGAUUGCCUUAAUUUGAUCAGAUAGGCUCAGUCAUGUGUAUCUAUAAAAUCAGAAUCAUAUAUCAUGUGGAUCACAUGAAGUUCAACAUCCAGGAAGUUAAUCUUCAAGCCCAGUACUCAAAUGCCUUUCACCUUUGACAUUGAAUUUCUAUUUGGAAUCAAUUCAACAAGACUCUUUCCUCCUGCCCUGGCUUAGACUUAGACAUAGGGCAUCAUUACACGUAGCAGACCAAUGGGAAAAAAAUUCACACAUAUCACACUGGCAUGGCUGUUUGGAAUACUGGAACCUCAUUUUAAUCCCUGUAUACUGUCCUCAAAUUGCACCAAGGACUGUGCUUAAUGUUUCAUUAUCAAUAAAUUACUUGAUAGGAAGUAAUUAUACUCAUAUAUUGGCUUUUUUCCUUCAGAAAGGUAAUUAGAUUAAGACAAACCUAUUUCAAAGUAAUGUGCCCAUUUUUCCAUUAUAUGUUUGCAAAGUUAAUAAGGUAAUUGAUAUUGUAAAGAGUUUGCCAAAAGUCAGGUCAGUUCCAGGCCUUAAAAUCAAAGCCUGAUGUCCAAAAGAACUUGUAUAAUGUAUUAUUUAUUGAGCACUGAUGCAAUAUUCAGUAUAAUAUAAGACAACAAAAUUAAGCCAAUGUAUUCACAGUUUGAAUAAAAGCUUCUAAAUAUUUUUUCCUAUCGACAGUAGAAUCUUAGACUCAUUGAAAGGAAAAGGACCCUGGAGGAGUUAUGAUCUAUCAAACUCAUAGUAUAGAUGAAGUAUCAGAGGCUUAGGCAAGGGCAGUGACUUACCCCAGGGCAUAGUAGCCCAGCUAAAAUUAGAACUCAGUCCUAUUGACUUCCUGAAACUGACAAUCUGCCCCUUUUCACAGAUUCUACCCCAGGCCAUCAACUCAUCCUUUUUGCUCACUUUCUGCAGUAUAUUUCUGGUUCAAUAUUUAGCCUCUGGCCUUCCCCAACUCUACUUUGCAUGCCAUUAUAAGAUUAACCUUAUUCAAGCAUAAUUUUAAUAAUUUCUUAUAUAUUAGAGUUCUCCAGAGAAACAGAAGCAAUGGGAAACUUAAUGUAAUGAGAGAUAUAUCUCCUCUCACUUUUGUUUCUCUGGAGAAGAGACUAGUUAUAUGUAUAUGACUUAUAAGAAAUUGAAUUAUGUGAUUAGUCCAAAGAUUUGCAGUUGACAAGCAGGAGAGCCAGGAUGUAAUUCCACUAUGAGGACCGAAGAAGACCAAUGUCCCAACUCAAACAGCCAGGC
This is a long non-coding RNA of Sapajus apella (tufted capuchin), 10806 nucleotides long. RefSeq lists it as uncharacterized. NCBI's taxonomy places the organism in Eukaryota, Metazoa, Chordata, Mammalia, Primates, Cebidae. The record is from RefSeq and is a predicted model, not a curated record. The transcript has 2 exons.